AUUGAACGCUAGCGGGAUGCUUUACACAUGCAAGUCGAACGGCAGCGCGGACUUCGGUCUGGCGGCGAGUGGCGAACGGGUGAGUAAUGUAUCGGAACGUGCCCAGUAGCGGGGGAUAACUACGCGAAAGCGUAGCUAAUACCGCAUACGCCCUACGGGGGAAAGCAGGGGAUCGUAAGACCUUGCACUAUUGGAGCGGCCGAUAUCGGAUUAGCUAGUUGGUGAGGUAACGGCUCACCAAGGCGACGAUCCGUAGCUGGUUUGAGAGGACGACCAGCCACACUGGGACUGAGACACGGCCCAGACUCCUACGGGAGGCAGCAGUGGGGAAUUUUGGACAAUGGGGGCAACCCUGAUCCAGCCAUCCCGCGUGUGCGAUGAAGGCCUUCGGGUUGUAAAGCACUUUUGGCAGGAAAGAAACGUCGAGGGCUAAUACCCCGUGGAACUGACGGUACCUGCAGAAUAAGCACCGGCUAACUACGUG
RNAcentral lists this ribosomal RNA (484 nucleotides) under uncultured bacterium. Its description in RNAcentral is "partial 16S ribosomal RNA". It matches the Rfam family "Bacterial small subunit ribosomal RNA", at positions 30 to 507 of the family's 1533-position model. The record is from RNAcentral.